This 429-nucleotide ribosomal RNA is filed under the name bacterium. RNAcentral's name for it is "partial 16S ribosomal RNA". It matches the Rfam family "Bacterial small subunit ribosomal RNA", at positions 355 to 776 of the family's 1533-position model. The record is from RNAcentral.
UGGGGAAUCUUCCGCAAUGGACGAAAGUCUGACGGAGCAACGCCGCGUGAGUGAUGACGGCCUUCGGGUUGUAAAGCUCUGUUAAUCGGGACGAAUGGUUCUUGUGCGAAUAGUGCGAGGAUUUGACGGUACCGGAAUAGAAAGCCACGGCUAACUACGUGCCAGCAGCCGCGGUAAUACGUAGGUGGCAAGCGUUGUCCGGAAAUAUUGGGCGUAAAGCGCGCGCAGGCGGAUUGGUCAGUCUGUCUUAAAAGUUCGGGGCUUAACCCCGUGAUGGGAUGGAAACUGCCAAUCUAGAGUAUCGGAGAGGAAAGUGGAAUUCCUAGUGUAGCGGUGAAAUGCGUAGAUAUUAGGAAGAACACCAGUGGCGAAGGCGACUUUCUGGACGAAAACUGACGCUGAGGCGCGAAAGCCAGGGGAGCGAACGGG